This 458-nucleotide ribosomal RNA is filed under the name uncultured bacterium. RNAcentral describes it as "bacterial SSU rRNA". It matches the Rfam family "Bacterial small subunit ribosomal RNA", at positions 28 to 507 of the family's 1533-position model. The record is from RNAcentral.
GAUGAACGCUGGCGGCGUGCUUGAUACAUGCAAGUCGAACGGAGAGUGUAGCAAUAUACUUUUAGUGGCGAACGGGUGAGUAACGCGUUGGUGACCUGCCCCGAAGCGAGGGAUAACAGUUCGAAAGAACUGCUAAUACCUCAUGUGAUCACCGGUUUUAGAAUCUGGUGAUUAAAGGUGAAAAUCACUUCGGGAGGGGCCUGCGUCCCAUCAGCUAGUUGGUAAGGUAAUGGCUUACCAAGGCGAUGACGGGUAGGGGACCUGAGAGGGUGGCCCCCACAAUGGAACUGAAACACGGUCCAUACACCUACGGGUGGCAGCAGUAGGGAAUAUUGCAAAUGGGCGAAAGCCUGAUGUAGCAACGCCGCGUGUGCGAUGAAGGUCUUCGGAUUGUAAAGCACUUUUUGGAGGGAUGAGGAAGGACGGUACUCUCAGAAUAAGUCUCGGCUAACUACGUG